GACUUUCUUCUAUUACCUGAAAAAAAAAAAGGUAGGCAGGGGUGAGCACCAAACUCAAUGAGUAGGGUUAGAUAACCCUCUCACCCCACACAAUCACACAGAUGCUAAAAUAUUUUUAUCUGAUCACCGAUUUAGUAUAUGAUCAUGCAGUUUAUCACACAAAUGGCAAUACAACAGCAAUCACAAUUAUUAUCACCUUCAUAUAAUCACAUCACGUGGAAAUUAGUCAGUGGAGUCACCGAAACCCCCGAUGAGCCGUCCUCCCACAUGGCCCAUNNN
This 279-nucleotide long non-coding RNA is filed under the name Jatropha curcas. RNAcentral's name for it is "long non-coding RNA (JCUR_LNC001365)". The record is from RNAcentral. Lineage: Eukaryota; Viridiplantae; Streptophyta; Magnoliopsida; Malpighiales; Euphorbiaceae.